AUUGAACGCUGGCGGCAUGCCUUACACAUGCAAGUCGAACGGUAACAGGUUAAGCUGACGAGUGGCGAACGGGUGAGUAAUGUAUCGGAACGUGCCCAGUCGUGGGGGAUAACGUAGCGAAAGCUACGCUAAUACCGCAUACGAUCUACGGAUGAAAGCGGGGGAUCGCAAGACCUCGCGCGAUUGGAGCGGCCGAUAUCAGAUUAGGUUGUUGGUGAGGUAAAAGCUCACCAAGCCUGUGAUCUGUAGCUGGUCUGAGAGGACGACCAGCCACACUGGAACUGAGACACGGUCCGGACUCCUACGGGAGGCAGCAGUGGGGAAUAUUGGACAAUGGGCGCAAGCCUGAUCCAGCAAUGCCGCGUGUGUGAAGAAGGCCUUCGGGUUGUAAAGCACUUUAGCCUGGAAAGAAAAAACUUUGGUUAACACCCAAAGUCUUGACGGUACCAGGAGAAUAAGCACCGGCUAACUCUGUGCCAGCCGCCGCAGUAA
Molecule: ribosomal RNA, 492 nt
Filed under: uncultured bacterium
Lineage: Bacteria
Description: partial 16S ribosomal RNA
Rfam family: Bacterial small subunit ribosomal RNA
Source: RNAcentral